UUAAGAUCCUACAUCUGUAAUGUGUGGUGUAGUUCUGUGGCCCACAUUGUAACAGUACAGAAGAACAUCGGCUUGCUAUUUGGUGAGAUUUGUCAGUUGGAUUUGACAAUUGGAUUUGAGUUGGAAAGUGCUGGUCAAAGAGCGCGUCGAGCUGUCACGCCCCAGCGCCACCAGGAGGGGCUCUCCUCGCCCACCUGGCCUAGCUCGCCUAGCUGGCCGUUACCCACAAGGCACCUGGACAGGAGAGGGACCCGCAGGCAGGAGGGCCAGAGGGGGAAGAGUGAAGGAGUGUCAGCUUGACUGUUUCCAGGAGGGGAGGGCCCCGCUAAUCAGAAGUGGCGUAGCUACUCGGAGACACUGAGGAAAGGGGAGGGGAGAGAGAUGACACCUCACAGAUUUAUUACCUCGGAAUCUUCCAGGCCGAGCCGCCCCCCUGCAAGCCGUCAACGAAGCCCCAAACCUCCAGAAAACAGGCAAAAUAAAUAAGACUAA
Long non-coding RNA from Oncorhynchus keta (chum salmon), 492 nucleotides. RefSeq lists it as uncharacterized. The record is from RefSeq and is a predicted model, not a curated record. The transcript has 3 exons. Lineage: Eukaryota; Metazoa; Chordata; Actinopteri; Salmoniformes; Salmonidae.